AUCCCGUGGCCUAACAGGCAUAGUGGGACCUCAGGGCCUUACCGGAAGAGCUGGGCCACCAGGAUUGAAAGGUGAUAAGGUGAUCUAAAUAUUUCUGUUAUUGGAGUGAAUGUCAGAGCUAAUUG
RNAcentral lists this long non-coding RNA (125 nucleotides) under Scleropages formosus (Asian bonytongue). Its description in RNAcentral is "lncRNA (ENSSFOG00015027091.1)". The record is from RNAcentral. Lineage: Eukaryota; Metazoa; Chordata; Actinopteri; Osteoglossiformes; Osteoglossidae.